Molecule: ribosomal RNA, 503 nt
Filed under: uncultured Glomus
Lineage: Eukaryota; Fungi; Glomeromycota; Glomeromycetes; Glomerales; Glomeraceae
Description: SSU rRNA
Rfam family: Eukaryotic small subunit ribosomal RNA
Source: RNAcentral
AGCAGCCGCGGUAAUUCCAGCUCCAAUAGCGUAUAUUAAAGUUGUUGCAGUUAAAAAGCUCGUAGUUGAAUUUCGGGAUCAAUAUGUUUGGUCGUGCCUCGGUACGUACUAGCAUAUUGGUUUCUCCUUUCUGAAGAACCAUGAUGUCAUUUAUUUGGUGUCGUGGGGAAUCAGGACUGUUACUUUGAAAAAAUUAGAGUGUUUAAAGCAGGCUCACGCUUGAAUACAUUAGCAUGGAAUAAUGAAAUAGGACGUUUGAUUCUAUUUUGUUGGUUUCUAGGAUCGACGUAAUGAUUAAUAGGGAUAGUUGGGGGCAUUAGUAUUCAAUUGUCAGAGGUGAAAUUCUUGGAUUUAUUGAAGACUAACUACUGCGAAAGCAUUUGCCAAGGAUGUUUUCAUUAAUCAAGAACGAAAGUUAGGGGAUCGAAGACGAUCAGAUACCGUCGUAGUCUUAACCAUAAGCUAUGCCGACUAGGGAUCGGCUGAUGUUAAUUUUUAAUGUA